GGCUUAUCAUGGCCCUAUCCAGUUAAAUGGUGGAGAGUUCAGGAGCUGUGAGCAAUGCAUCAACCUACAUGAAUAGGUUGGUGUAUUGGGGUGGCCUGUUCUGUCCUCUGUAUUUCAGACCAAGGCAAGACAAUGUUUAAAGCUUACCAUGGAUCUACAAACAGGUUAGCCUCUAUUACAUCUUUGGAUGUAUUAGCAGUGUGAUCAUGGUGUGUUCUGUGUAAUUCCUUUGUCUUUUCCAAUGAUAACUGAAUGGUGAACGAAUGUAUUUACAGUCAAUCAAUCAAUCAAUCAAUCAAUCAAUCAAUCAAUCAAUACAGUGUGAUCAUUGUGUGUUCUGUGUAAUUCCAUUGUCUUUUCCAAUGAUAACUGAAUGGUGAAUGAAUGUAUUUACAGUCAAUCAAUCAAUCAAUCAAUACAGUGUGAUCAUUGUGUGUUCUGUGUAAUUCCAUUGUCUUUUCCUACAUUAACUGAAUGGUGAAUGUCUGGUGUCAUUGUGUCUUCUUGUUGUUUGUGAGAAGAGAAGUUGUUUCUUAGGGGAAUGGAAAUGUUUCUUUCACAUUCUGUAUACACUAACCAAAUGAAUCUCCCGUUUAAGAACUGGGAUAAGCUGCAAAUCUCAUUGUGGGGUAGGCCACGUUAUAAAUAUGGUUAUAGCUCCUAAACUGAAUUACGUUAUCAGCAUGUUUCAUUGUCCAUACCUGCCUUCACCUUUAACACCAUAGACUAAAUGAUUACUCAGUUUAUUUGGACUAGUAAAAGGGCAAUAAUUAACCUAGCUAGAUUACAGGCAAGAGUUUAGAAGGGAGGAUUAAACUGUAAUUUAUACUGAACAAGAAUAUAAACACAAUGUAAAGUGUUGAUCCCAUGUUUCAUGAGCUGAAAUAAAAAAUCCCAGAAAUGUUCCAUAUGCAAAAAAAGCUUAGUUCUCCCAAAUGUUUUGCACAAAUUUGUUUACAUUUGUUUACAUCCCUCUUAGUGAACAUUUCUCCUAUGCUAAGAUAAUCAUUCCACCUGACAGGUGUGGUAUAUUGAGAAGCUGAUUAAACAGCAUGAUCAUUAGCAAAGUGCACCUUGUGCUGGUGACAAUAAAAGGCCACUCUAAAACAUGAAGUUUUGUCAUACAACACAAUGCCACCGAUGUCUCAAGUUUUGAUGGAGCAUGCAAUUGGCAUGAUGACUGCAGGAAUGUCCACCAGAGCUGUUUCAGAUAAUGUAAUGUUAAUUUCUCAACCAUAAGCCACCUCUAACAUUGUUUUAGAGAAUUUGACAGUACAUCCAAUCUGCCUCACAACUGCAGACCACAUAUAACCACGCAAGCCCAGGACCUCCACAUCCGGCUUCUUCACCUGCAGGAUCAUCUAUGACCAGCCACCUGGACAGCUGAUGAAACUGAGGAGUAUUUCUGUCUGUAAUAAAGCUCUUUUAUGGUGAAAAACCUAUUCUGAUUCCCUCAGCCUGGCUCCCCAGUGGGUGGGCCUGGCUCCCAGGUGGGUGGGCCUAUGCCCUCCCAGGACCACCCAUGGCUGCGCCCCUGCCCAGUCAUGUGAAAUCCAUAGAUUAGGGCCUAAUACAUUUAUUUCAAUUGACUGACUUCCUUAAAUGAACUGUAACUCAGUAAAAUCAUUGAAAUUAUUGCAUGUUGCAUUUAUAUUUUUGUUCAUUAUAUAUCAAGAAGCCUUUAACUGACCAAAUAGGCUCACUCUCUUUAUUGACAACUUUAAUAGGCCACUUUGGGUUGACAUAUAAGAAGAACUUAAUGCCCAAUUUGGAGCAUCAUAUUAUCUGAGUCAACACUUAAAUAUGGAACUGCAGAAUCCCAUAAUGUCCCAUACUUAGAAAUAUGGCGUCAGAUAAAUAAGAGAGAGACAUCUUCACCAGCUCUGCUUCGUUAUAGAACAACCAUAAAUAAAUAUUAGAAGGACAGGUGGUUUUCUAGAAAGAGUGGUAUGGGUUUUGUUUUAUCCUCCACACUAAUGCACUUCACUUUUGCUUUUAGUGUCAACUUGAAUUUGAGUGUGGCUGUGGAAGACUGGUUCCUUGAUGAUGUCUGCAAUGAUCUCUGAUUCCAUCCCGUCAUGCCAAGGUUCACAAUCUGUCCGAAGAAUGCAAACUCUAUUCAAUUGUCCACUUUGCAACAAACAUACUUUCUCUGUGUCCAGACUACUCACAUAUUGGCCUCUAUCACCAGCACAAACUAAAUUGCAUAAUUACCUGUGGAUUUAAUAGGUGCUGGAAAACAUAUACAGUACAUUGGGAAAGUAUUCAGACCCCUUCCCUUUUUCCACAUGUUGUUAUGUUACAGCCUUAUUCUAAAAUGGAUUAAAUUAAUUGUUUUCCUUAUCAAUCUACACACAAUACUCCAUAAUGACAAAGCAAAAACAAAGCAAAAACACCUCAGGGAGGUGACCAAGAACCUCCUUGGUCACUCUGACAGAGCUCCAGAGUUCCUCUGUGGAGAUGGGAGAACCUUCCUGAAGGACAACCAUCUCUGCAGCACUCCACCAAUCAGGCCUUGAUGGUAGAGUGGCCAGACAGAAGCCACUCCUCAGUAACAGGUACAUGACAGCCUGCUUGGAGUUUACCAAAAGGUACCUAAAGGACUCUCAGACCAUGAGAAACAAGAUUCUCUGGUCUGAUGAAACCAAGAUUGAACUCUUUGGCCUGAAUGCCAAGUGUCACGUCUGGAGGAAACCUGGCACCAUCCCUACGGUGAAGCAUGGUGGUGGCAGCAUCAUGCUGUGAGGAUGUGUUUCAGCAGCAGGGACUGGGGGACUAGUCAGGAUCAAGGGAAAGAUGAACAGAGCAAAGUACAGAGAUCCUUGAUGAAAACAUGCUCCAGAGCGCCCAGGACCUUAGACUGGGGUGAAGGUUCACCUUCCAACAGUAGGUUCACCUUCCAACAGUAGGUUCACCUUCCAACAGUAGGUUCACCUUCCAACAGUAGGUUCACCUUCCAACAGUAGGUUCACCUUCCAACAGUAGGUUCACCUUCCAACAGUAGGUUCACCUUCCAACAGUUCGCAACAUGUAAAGUGUUGGUCCCAUGUUUCAUGAGCUGAAAGAAAAGUUCCUAGAAAUGUUCAACGACUCUAAGCACACAGGAAAGACAAUGCAGGAGUAUCUUCGGGACAAGUCUCUGAAUGUCCUUGAGUGGCCCGGACUUGAAUCCAAUUUAACAUCUCUGGAGAGACCUGAAAAUAGCUGUGCAGCGACGCUCCCCAUCCAACCUGACAGAGAAUCUGCAGAGAAGAAUGGGAGAAACUCCCCAAAUACAGGUGUACCAAGCUUGUAGCGUCAUACCAAAGAAGGCUCGAGGCUGCAAUUGUUGCCAAAGAUGCUUCAACAAAGUACUGAGUAAAGGGUCUGAAUACUUAUGCUAAUGUGAUAUUUCCGUUUUUUAUUUUUAAUACAUUUGCAAAAUUUCUAAAAACCUGUUUUUGCUUUGUCAUUAUGGAGUAUUGUGUGUUGAUUGAUGAGGGAUUUUUUUUUAAAAUCAAUUUUAGAAUAAGGCUGUAAUGUAACAAGAUGUGGAAAAAGUCUAGGGGUCUGAAUACUUUGUAGAUGUUUCAUCACCUAUCGGUCACACAUCUACCUGUCACGCCGGCUCCCACUCUCCCUCUCAGGCUGCCCUUCAUUGCGCACACCUGUCACCAUCAUUCCGCGCAUUAGCACUCACUGGACUCAACUGGACUCCUUCACUUUGUUGAUUACCUUCCCUAUUUCUGUCUGCUUCCGCUUUUGUUCCCUGUGUCAGCAUUAAUGUCAUUAUUUGUUCAUGUCCAGACGCUGUCCUGUUUUAUGUCCGUUGGUUAUUAAAUGCUCACUCCCUGUACCUGCUUCCUGUCUACCAGCGUAGAGCCUUACACUACCGAAACCACAGAGAUCAACACUUAGCAGCUAAUCGAAGGUCUCAAAAAGAAUAUCUGUAUUUCAUUUUGAAAAUCAGGGAAGAACACUGCCUCCCAGCUACGGUACAUAAUAGCAUUGUUGAAGACCACAGAACAAUUGUUGAUGCAUUUAUGACACACUACAGUGAUGCCCUCAGGUUUCACCUUACAAAUUAGCAAAUACAUGUGGAUGAAGAUGGUGAGGAAUGCAUUAGAUGCACAAGCUCUGAGUGGAUACUGGAGCAUUACUGUGUGAAAUAAUUGGGAAUGGUCAGGCCAAGUGUCACAACUCCUACCGAAGGUGGCUCCCCUUCCUGUUCGGGUGGCGCUCGGCGGUCGUCGUCACCGGCCUACUAGAUGCCACUGAUCCCUUUUCCCCUUUCUGUUUAUUGGUUUCACCUGUUUUGUGUGUAGGCUAUUAGUCGGGCUAUGUUAACCAGUAGGCCCGCCUGCUCUUUGUGAGGGAUUGGUUUGUGUUGCUCUGAGCACGUUCGAUGUUGACGUGUUUCGUUCAUGGGUUUUUCUCCAGACUGUUUGAGUCCCUGUGUUUGGGGCAUUUGUUUUGUGUGCGCCCUGUGUUUCGUGGGGUGGCUUAUGUUCGCGGUGUGUGCAAUAAAUAGCACUACCCUGUACUCUCUGCUUCCUGUGCCUGACUUCACACCCACUACGCCCAGAGCGUUACACCAAGUGAAGUACCCCUGAGCAACAAAGAAGGUUAUAAAACAAGGUCAUUUGAAUACAUCCCAUUGGUCAGCAUACUGCAAAAAUAGCAAGUAAUGAAGAGGUCUGGACCACCUUGAAUCAAGACCAAAAGCCACAUAAUGAUGAGAUUCUAGAAGACUUUACAGACGGUGAAUUGUUCAAAUCCCAACCUAACAAAGCAGAGCCUCCAUCUGCAGUUUUACAUAGAUGAAUUGGAAGUUGUCAAUCCACUGGGUUCUAAAAAAGGCAAGCACAAAUUGACCACUGUGUACUUUAGAUUAGGAAAUCUUGACCACAAGGAUACUCCCCAACUCCAGAAUAUAUACCUCUCCACAUUGGUUCAUCACCGCCUCAUUCGAAUACAAGUCACCACUUACUAAGAAGCAUUGGAGCAUUUGAUACGUGAAAUCCAGGAAUUGGAAGCACUGGGUGUGAAGUUAACAUGCAAUGGUGAAGACAAAACCUUCUGAAUAACAAUCACAACAGUCUCAGCAGAUGAUCUCUCCUCACGCAGGGUUGCAGGGUUGAGAAAAAAACGUUUCCUCUGGUCGCAUUUGUCGCUUCCAGACAUUGCAUCGAUGUAUUGGCAUCAAAAAAGCCUGUUGCUUCUCUCAGCUGAAUCAUGUGCCAUCUCCCAUUAUGUAUCUGUUUCCACCAGACGUCAUGCAUAACAUUCACGAGGGCAUCAUACCCACAUUGCUCAGACUGGUGUUGCAACAAUUACUCUUGUCCAGAUCAACUAUGAGGUUGAGAACUUGUCUUAUGGCAACGAGAUGUGUCUUCUAAACCUGCUCCACUAUCCGAGAGAGUCCAAAGGAAGAAUGGCCAUCUAUCAGGAAGUUCAUCAGAACAAUUAGCACGUUUUCGUUUACUCCCCCAAAUGAUUGGUAGUCAAAUACAAAAUGGCAGUGCUUGGAAUCUCUACGUCCUGUUUCGAGAGGUAUCUGAUGUCAUCUUGGCCAGCAUUUUAAGAUGAUCCUAGAUCCCAUAUCUGGCAGAAAAAAAUCACAGAAUUUCAAGCUCUCUUCCAGGAGCUGUUUCCAGGGAAGACAAUCGCAAAGAUGCACUACCUAGUCCACUACCCUAGCCUGCUAUGGACCUUUGAUGCACCAGUCCUCCAUGCGAUUUGAAGCGAAACACCAGUAUUUCAAGAGGCUCUUAGCAGUUGUGGAAAACCGUAAAAAUACAACGAAGACCCUGGCUAAAAGACAUUAGCUCUGACAAUGCUGGGAGCAAACCAACAACAACUGCCUUGGCAACAACAACACACUGUAUGGACACAAGAGACUUCCAACUGAGACGUCCCACUGCAUGCACUUCCAAACUCUGCCCAUGUAGUGUUAAGUGCCAGAUUCGGAUGAAAUCAUCAGAGCAAAAUGUGUCUCCAAGACAAUGUCCAUUGCAGUGAACAACGAGCGGUACAAUGUAGGAGACUAUCUGGUUAUUGACACUCAUUCAGAAGAGAUUCAUGUGUUCAUGGAAGUGUGUGGAAUAUACAGAUUCCUUGGUGCUGGUGUGGUAAAGUACUGCUACCAGCCAGUUUCAACAACCAUCACCACGCAGACAUGGUUCAACACAGUCAACAAUGGUUUCUAUAAGUCCUGUUGAGGAGAUGGAUUUCCAUGGGUUAGAUGGAUACAGGGACCCAGAGGGAAGAGUGUCCAUUCCAUUCUGCCACUGGUUUGCGGUUAGUUCAAAUCAUAGAUUUAUUCAUUUAGGAAGCACAAUGCACUUUUAUUUUCAUAUGGGUUUCCUAUUCUGAUACACACUAACCAAAACACUGACAUGUUCUUUUUAUUUAGGGUAUUUUUCCCCACAGAACACCAAAUUGAUGGAGAGACAUUGAUGUCAUUGGACCAAAGAAUAGUGGAGCAAAUUGUGUCAGUAGUCUAAGUUUGAAUCAAAUUCACAAAAUUAAUCCAAAAGCUGUAAAUAUGUAAGUCAAUGUAUGACUAUCAUCUGCAUCAUUGAUUCUAUCACAGUGAUCCUAUUCACAUUCACAUUCUCUGCUCUUUUGUUUUCUUUCUGAGCCUGAAAGCACAAUAAACGGUAUUAUUGUCAGUUCCCAGCAAACAGCCCAGCAAAUGACCCAGCAGCAUCUGUCCAGCACAAUGACCCAGCAUCUGUCCAGCAAAAUGACCCGCCAUCUGUCCAGCACAAUGACCCAGCAGCAUCUGUCCAGCAAAAUGACUCAGCAUCUGUCCAGCAAAAUGACUCACCAUCUGUCCAGCACAAUGACCCAGCAGCAUCUGUCCAGCAAAAUGACCCAGUGUAACAGUAUAACUUUAGACCGUCCCCUCGCCCAUACCCAGGCGCGAACCAGGGACCCUCUGCACACAUCAACAACAGUCACCCACGAAGCAUCGUUACCCAUCGCUCCACAAAAGCCGCAGCCCUUGCAGAGCAAGGGGAACUACUACUUCAAGGUCUCAGAGCAAGUGACGUCACCGAUUGAAACACUAUUUAGCACGAACACCGCUAACUAGCUAGCCAUUUCACAUCUGUUACAUCAGCAUCUGUCCAGCAAAAUGACCCAGGAUCUGCCCAGCAAAAUCACCCAUUAAUUAGCCUUCAGCAUGAUAUAUCAACUGGCCAGCAACAGGAAACAUAAUUCAGCCCGAAUCUGGCCAUCUGGGCUUUUAGACUUCCAGAAUUUCCAGACGUAUUAAAAGAAAAACCUGAAAGAAAAUGUGACGAUCUCCGUUGCCCUGCGGUUCUCUCGAAGUGGAGGUCUCAGAUUGGGCAGGUGUUGUUUGCCUUCAUGUGUACCUAUACUUGGUGAGUAUAGUUAUGUAGUAAACUGAUGUUAGCUUAAUGUUAAUGAUAUAAGUUCAUACAUGCUUGUUUGUGUGUUUGUGUGUGUGCAUCAGCCUGAGCCCUUCUCCUGUCUCUGUCCUCCAUACUCUGUCUUCUCAUAAUCACUGCAGCUUAUAGCAUAGCACAUAGUCAACUUCUACAUGAUGAUAAUCAACACCAUCAGUCAAUGUCAUUUGUAUUAUGAACAUAAUUGUUAGUCUAACUAUAUUCUUGUAUGUUUCUACUCUCGUUGAGAGACCAGACAGUGAAGGGAUAUGUACGAAUUCUUCAGUUUUCAUACUCACGCUAAUAACCUUUUUACACUAUUGUGCCUACCCAGAUCAUAAUGUGCUGGCUUGGAUAUUUUCUUCUCACAUUGUUAAACCAUCACAUUUCCAGCAGCAUAACAAGACCAUCUCUAUUCUGCUCCUCUGACCUCGGUCCCAAUAAUCCAUCAUUUCUCCUCUCCACAUUUUAUUUUUUAAGGAGUCAUGGAACGGCAUGAUAAAGAAUAAAUACAAGUACAGGAAAUGCAGAAGAAGUUUAGGGGGCAAGGGAAAAAAUAAACCCAGAUGACAUCAAAAAUGAAGACCUGACCAAAAUAGCCAAGAUUGAGAUUGGUGAGAAUUCCUUCAGUCAAGAGUUACAUGUUGAACAGAUGCAGGUGGAAUGCCAAGAAAAGAGACCGAACAUCAGUUCCCUACAAGACAAAACGAAAAGGACUGAAAAAUAACGUUUUUAUGAAACAAGGCACCAAGGACAUCUUAAAACUGUACCCAGCACUCCAUUUGUCAGCCAUUGUCUGAAGGUCACUGCAGCCAUUUUGCUCCUCCCCUACCUGUUCAAAGAAGAUCCAAGUGGGUACGUCACAGGUGAGGGGAAUACCUUUACGGAUGAGAGCCACAUUCAACUCUUCCUGGAUGGAGAGGAGCUACUCAUUAAAGAGCUGGAGGACAUCUCCAUGGAUUGGGAGUGGCAAUGGGGGUCCAUUUCCUUUUUAAUAUUGAGUAUGCAGCAUCAUUAAAAAGCACUACGCUGUUCAUUCAGAUGUGUUCUGGGAAUUGAUGAGGGAGAUAAAUUACCAACAAAUGUAGGAAUGGCUAACUUUUUGCUGUAGAGAUGGAUAAGGGAGACCAGAGAUUUCUGGGACGUCUGCAAGUGAGAUUUCUGGGACGUUUAAAGUCAAUAAAAUGAAUUUGUGACUUUACAAGUUCACCACUCAAUGUUAUUUGUAUUAUUAUUGUUCAUAGUAUUAUUAUUGUUAUUGUUCAUAAUGGAAUACAUGGGUCAUAAAAGUUUCCUACAGGAACCUUAACGCCCUAAAAGGUUAUUUGAGGAACCUUUUUAAAAGAUUCCUCAGGGAAAAGGUUCCUGAAAGCAAAGAGAGUUCCAAACCUCUCUGACAAUGGGCGAAUUCGAUUAUAGACCGGACACCGGUCUGUGGCCUGUACAUGUUAUCAACAAGGCAGCAUGUUGCAUCAUCCAGAAACGCACAUCUCCUUUCUACAAAAUACAUGUUCGAUUUGUUUUUUUUGGGGGGGGGUUGCGCCACGGGAUUUUCUUUCAGGAGUAGAGGUUUCUCCUCCGUGUGUUGCGAUUAUUCCCUGUGUGUGGCGACUUCGUUUGGGCGUGUUCUUCCACCUGUUGUUGUUGAGUUGGGACUUCUAAUAAACGAUUGUGCUACUGGG
This is a long non-coding RNA of Oncorhynchus tshawytscha (Chinook salmon), 9076 nucleotides long. Lineage: Eukaryota; Metazoa; Chordata; Actinopteri; Salmoniformes; Salmonidae. The record is from Ensembl.